GAUGAAGAACGUAGCGAAAUGCGAUAAGUAAUGUGAAUUGCAGAAUUCAGUGAAUCAUCGAAUCUUUGAACGCACAUUGCGCCCCCUGGUAUUCCGGGGGGCAUGCCUGUUCGAGCGUCAUUUCACCACUCAAGCCUCGCUUGGUAUUGGGCAACGCGGUCCGCCGCGUGCCUCAAAUCGACCGGCUGGGUCUUCUGUCCCCUAAGCGUUGUGGAAACUUUCGCUAAAGGGUGUUCGGGAGGCUACGCCAUAAAACAACCCCAUUUCUAAGGUUGACCUCGGAUCAGGUAGGGAUACCCGCUGAACUUAAGCAUAUCAAUAAGCGGAGGA
RNAcentral lists this unclassified non-coding RNA (330 nucleotides) under soil metagenome. RNAcentral describes it as "partial contains 5.8S ribosomal RNA, internal transcribed spacer 2, and large subunit ribosomal RNA". The stretch from base 1 to 120 matches the Rfam family "5.8S ribosomal RNA", at positions 35 to 154 of the family's 154-position model. The record is from RNAcentral.